Molecule: long non-coding RNA, 340 nt
Filed under: Olea europaea (common olive)
Lineage: Eukaryota; Viridiplantae; Streptophyta; Magnoliopsida; Lamiales; Oleaceae
Description: long non-coding RNA (OEUR_LNC009061)
Source: RNAcentral
UCAAAAUAUUGUAAUGAUUGUGGCUUGGUCCUUAAAAUACGAAUGCAUGUUGAGCUCUAAUUCGGAGUGUAUUAAGUAGUAUGAACUGGAGUUCUAUCUUAAAACCUUAUAUGUUGGUUUAUAUUUUCAUAUUUAUUCUAUAUGAUACAAGAUUUUUCUGUAACAUCGAACCUUCAACCUUCACAUCUAAGUCUGCUAGCCCAAAUACCAACCAUUUUUUUCUGCAAAGAAACCUAUGGGAUUAAUUUAUGGACUGAAUGACACAGAAAACACUGUAAUACAUCUUCACAUCUAGCUUGGGAAGGGAGUACUUAUCUAAAGCACAUGCCUCCUAAAUAUC